Molecule: non-coding RNA, 1318 nt
Organism: Peromyscus maniculatus bairdii (prairie deer mouse)
Lineage: Eukaryota; Metazoa; Chordata; Mammalia; Rodentia; Cricetidae
Source: RefSeq, a predicted model, not a curated record
UCAGUGCGACUGUGUGAUCGCAGGUGGUUCGGAUCGCCUCUCUGAGCCUCUUUUGCCUCAGCCCCAUACGCAGCCUGUUGCCCAUAGCACCUCUCCUACCGAAGCCGAAGGGAUCUGCGGAGACAGUGAGUGUGAAGGCUCAUGUCUCGGGUAUUUUGUCAUAGCGAUGGAAGGGCUGGCAGACAUAUCUGGCAAACACAUUCUGGAAAUCCAUAUAAAACCGGCUGUUCUGCAAACUAAUUAAAUGCACAACAAUGACAACAACAACAACAACAACCAUGACGACAACAACAAGAAGAGGGAAGAAGAUGGGAUCAGACAGGUCAACAGUUCAUCAAAAGGCCCUGCUCUGUGUGCGCUGGGGAGACAGAGGUGAGUGGCAUACUGACCAGGUCGUCACAACACACUGUCUCUAGGAGACAGGCACCCGCAGGCUGUGCAAUGUCACUUCAGUGAGAUCAGUGCUGAGAAAAGAAAAGUUUACCAGGAGCCAUCCUUGUACCUCGUGAAGCUGGGAAACCAUCCUAAGACAGAUGACCAUCGAUAACCAAUGGGGCAUGACCUGAAGCCGACUGACAGGAGCCAUGCAUUACAAGAUGAAGGGGCUAUGCCAGAGAAAUGCUGAUGCCCAAGGAUCAGCGAUGAACAGGAGAUGGGCAGUCCCUGGGGUCUUUCUUCUAUCCACCUGUUCCAAUGGCACCCGACUUACUUACUAGUUUUAUGAGCUUUAACACAUAAGGGUAGGGCCACCCCUUACCUUGUUGAUUGCUUUUAGAAAAGACACAAAUGGUCUUUUGUACUUUGGUCAUUGGGUCGGGAGUCUACAGGACCACUCUUUAGUUAGGCCUGGUGGACUUCGAGAAGGCCUCGUGAGGUUCAGAAGCUGUUACACAUGAACAUAAUUUAUUACAAGGAAUGGGUACAGAGCCAUAUUUGCCAAGGAAGAAAGGGUGUGAGAAACUGGAAAAAUAGGCAGCUGUCCCCUCCCAGAGGGGCCGCAUAGCUAUUUCCCCAGUGACAAUAGUGACAAUGCAUACAAAGCGUGGCCGGCCACGGAAGUUGUCUGGCCACGGAAGUUUCCGUGAGCCUCGAUGUCCACGCAGUGCCUGUGUGACUCUCUUCAUCUUCCAAAGCUUGAUUUGAUGGAUUGAAUUGAUACAAUGUGGACCAGGAACCAAGGGCUCAAACAAACAAACGCUUGUAGAGUUUUCUAAGGACUCACUUCUCUCUGGAGUUGGCCACUGGUCAGUCCUGAAUCCAGAGCUUUCCCAGGAAUGUAUAGGGCUUGCACAACUCAGUGCGGCCUGCUGACUGAAGU